RNAcentral lists this ribosomal RNA (374 nucleotides) under uncultured bacterium. Its description in RNAcentral is "bacterial SSU rRNA". It matches the Rfam family "Bacterial small subunit ribosomal RNA", at positions 525 to 896 of the family's 1533-position model. The record is from RNAcentral.
ACAUAGGCUUCAAGCGUUGUCCGGAUUUAUUGGGCGUAAAGAGUUCGUAGGCGGUCGAGUAAGUUGGGUGUGAAAAUUCUGGGCUUAACCCAGAGACGCCACCCAAUACUACUUAACUAGAGUUCGGUAGGGGAGAGGGGAAUUCCUAGUGUAGCGGUGAAAUGCGCAGAUAUUAGGAGGAACACCGGUGGCGAAGGCGCCUCUCUGGACCGAUACUGACGCUGAGGAACGAAAGCAUGGGUAGCAAACAGGAUUAGAUACCCUGGUAGUCCAUGCCGUAAACGGUGGGCACUAGGUGUGGGUUCCAAUUAACGGAAUCCGCGCCGUCGCUAACGCAUUAAGUGCCCCGCCUGGGGAGUACGGUCGCAAGACUA